UAAGUCUACACAGUUAUUUUCAGAAUCUGCAAAAUGCAGGAACUAGGCCUGGGCAAAAAUCACAGCUAAUUUCCACACAGAAGAAACCUCAGAAAGAGGAGGAGAUAAGAAGCAAUGUAUCUUCUCAUGAUACAUGUAGGUCUCCACCAGAGAGUUUGCUCUCUCCCCACCCACCCAUCUCAGUAAAGACAUGGAGCACUGGCAGAGGAACCUACUACUGAUUCUAACUUUAUCUUUUGAAUGCGGAUGUGAAGACACUGUCUCCCAGUCAACAGGAGUUCUGACUGCCACUGAGGGAGAGACAGUUAAACUUGACUGUAAAUUUUACACAACUGAUUCAAAUCCCAGUCUAAUCUGGUACAAGAUGGAGGUGAAGGACUUUCCCAGAUACAUGUUAAGACGGGACAAGUACACAGAUGGAGACAAUUCCAAAGCAUUUCAAAAAGAAAGAUUUGACGCUCCACUGAACCUUGAUGAAAGAUCAGUUCCUUUGAGGAUCCAGAGUGUGCAGCUGUCUGACUCUGCUACCUACUACUGUGCUCUGAGGCCCACAGUGCCUACAGGAGACACAGAUCAUGUACAAAAACCUGCUGUGCUGCACAACACAGGACAAGACAAUGACUGAAUAUAAGAGUGCUCAGUCAUAUUAUCACAAUAAUUGACACAAUACGAAAUCAAAGAAACAGCUUACCAAAACUAUAUAAUAUAAUUACAAUUAAUACAGUAUAUUACAUUGUAUUUUUAUCAUCAUAAUUUAAAAUUAAAAGUAAUAUAAUAAUAUAGUCAAUAAAAGUAUUUGAAACAAUUUUUGAACAAUUAUAGAAUUUAUAGAAAUUAUGGAAUUAUAAAACAAUUUCCUGAUAAGAAUGUAUAUCAAUGAUGUAGGCAGUUGCAAAAUUGACCCACCUUAGGGCAACAAAACUGUAAAUCUUGAAAUAUUCACUUUCAAAGAAAAGUUCUCGUGCAGAUAGCAGUUCAAAUCAACAUAU
Non-coding RNA from Hypomesus transpacificus, 989 nucleotides. The record is from the annotation of a RefSeq genome assembly. NCBI's taxonomy places the organism in Eukaryota, Metazoa, Chordata, Actinopteri, Osmeriformes, Osmeridae.